AUGGUUUUGAUCAGGAGGAUUUCCAAGUCUUCUGUUGUGAUGAAGGACAGCUACUCACAGAGCCGUGUCUCUCAGAGGUUGUUGUACGACGACUCGACCAGUUUGUAUCACUGUGGUACACGUUUGGUGGAGGAACCAGACUGGAGAUGUAAAAAGUUAAACUGCUGGAUGAUUUUCUCUGAGCUGAUCUGCAUCAGAGGUGAUGUUCGUCCCAUCCUGACGGUGCUGCCUCCCUCCAGUGAGGAGCUGCAGCAGGGGAAGGCCACGCUCAUGUGUCUGGCCAACAAGGGCUUCCCCUCAGACUGGAGUCUGUCCUGGAAGGUGGACGGCAGCAGCAGCAGCUGGGAGGAGGACAGGAGCCCCGUGGUGAUGAAGGACGCCCUCUACAGCUGGAGCAGCACCCUGAGGCUCACUGCAGACCAGUGGAGGAAGGUGGGCUCUGUGACCUGUGAGGCCACCCAGGGCUCCCAGUCUCCAGUCUCAGAGUCACUCAGGAGAGACCAGUGUUCCCAGUACUGAUGGGACUCACUGUGAUGCUGGUUUUACUUUGCUAAUUCUUUCAGUUUGAUUCAUGUGGUUUUUCACCUGCUUAA
This is a non-coding RNA of Nothobranchius furzeri (turquoise killifish), 593 nucleotides long. Lineage: Eukaryota; Metazoa; Chordata; Actinopteri; Cyprinodontiformes; Nothobranchiidae. The record is from the annotation of a RefSeq genome assembly.